This 732-nucleotide long non-coding RNA is filed under the name Capra hircus (goat). RNAcentral's name for it is "lncRNA (ENSCHIG00000007878.1)". Lineage: Eukaryota; Metazoa; Chordata; Mammalia; Artiodactyla; Bovidae. The record is from RNAcentral.
CGUGGGGCAGCGCCUCGCCCUCACGGCGGACGGUCCCUCGGCUUCUCCGCCAGCCGCUCGUCGGCCUCCCCCGCCCCGCGCUCCCUCCCAGCCCGAGCCCUCCUGCUGCUCCUCCUCCUCAGCCUCCUCCCUCCUCGCGCCGCUGACAGGCAGCCUCCGCGGGGAGAGUGCAGGUACUUUGCCUUCAGAAUAAUUUGCAGGACCCCAGCGAGCUUGCGGAGCGCCCAGAUUUUCUCCUGCCCUCGCCCCCUCCCUCCCGAAAAGAAGAUCCCACUUUUGAAACAAGCAGAACCCCCGAAGCAGAGGCAGCAGACCAAAGCCAGAGCCCGACGGGCGGCUGUGCAUGUGCUGUCCUUUCUUGCAGUUUAUUCUGGGCCUGUAUGGAAUAGAAAGACAAUUCUUUAUUUGACUGGAAGGAGAGAAAAGAGAAGACUCCUCAGGGUUUCCAAGGAAGACUGGAGCGACUGCUUUAUUCACCACCUAAAUUCCAUGCUGCAGUCUAUGGGGUCACAAAGAGUCGGACAUGAUUGAGCAGCUGAACUGAACUAGGUCAGCACAGAGCACUGAGUGAAGUUCCCUGUGGUAUACAGUAGGUUCUCAUUAGUUAUCUACAUUGUAUCAGUCGUGUACAUAUGUCAAUCCCAACUCCCAGUUCAUCGCAACCCCUCUUCCCCUUGAUAUCCAUAUGCUUGUUCUCUAUAUCUGUGUCUCUCUUUCUGCUUUGUAAAUAAG